UCUAUGUUAUUCUCCGUUAAAAUAUCAGAAUCAGUGUAUACAAAACCCUCGGAUUUUAACACAAGCGAUUAUUUUCUUCCUUUAGCGAGAGCACGAUAGAAUUUUCCUCAUUGUUAGGUUUAUUUACAUCACCGAGCGUUGACUGCAUAUCCCUGAAUCUUCGUCUAUGUUAUUAGUUACUGCGCCGUGAUCACACAACCCAAUCAAUUAAGCAAUCAAUCGUUGUUAAGUGUGAUCGUGUAUGUGAAAGAAUGAGAGGAAGAACGCGUAGGAGGCCAGGAAAGCCAUGUAACCUCAACUAAAUGGAUUACAAAACAGAAAAGGGAGAGGAUGAAAUAUGGGAAAGGAAAAAAACAUGAGAAAAGAAAAGUGCAAUGGAGAAAGUACUAAAGGAAAAACAAGUUGGAGGCUAAGAGAGAAUCAUUCAACUUUAAUUAAAUGGAUUAUGGAUGAACGAAAGGCAAGAAAUAGAGAAAAAUAGGGAAAAGAAAAGAAAUGGGAAAAGAAAAGUAAAAGAAGAAAUACGUACUAAAGGCAGAAAAAGUAGAUGAAGAGAAAGAAAUAUCACGGAAACUAACAAGAUUAUGGAUGAAUGAGGAGAGAAAAAGAGGAAUUAAAAAAAGAAAUAGUAGUAUGAGAGGUGAGGAAAAAGAGGUAUUAAAAAAAGAAAUGGUAGUAUGAGAGGUGAGGAAAAAGAGGUAUUAAAAAAAGAAAUGGUAGUAUGAGAGGUGAGGAAAAAGAGGUAUUAAAAAAAGAAAUGGUAGUAUGAGAGGUGAGGAAAAAGAGGUAUUAAAAAAAGAAAUGGUAGUAUGAGAGGUGAGGAAAAAGAGGUAUUAAAAAAAGAAAUAGUAGUAUGAGAGGUGAGGAAAAAGAGGAAUAAAGAAAGAAAAAGUAGUGGGGUAAGUACUAACCCAAAAAAAACUAAGAAGCAGAGUCAUGCCACUUACACCAACGGGAUUACAGAUCAACGGACAGGGAAAAAAAAAGAGGAAAACAAGGGAGAAAACAUAAGUAAGGGAGGAAACGGAAGAAUGACAAGUCGCGUUUACUUUGUUUUCAAGAAGACCUGCAAGUUAGAGGUGAAGGCAAGUGACUCAGCAUUUAAAGAGAGAGAGAGAGAGAGAGAGAGAGAGAGAGAGAGAGAGAGAGAGAGAAACCACAAUACAGCUGUUACGAAAGAUAAAUAAUGACAAUGAUAAUAAUAAUAAUGAGUAAUGUAGAAAAUAACUAAAAUUAAUCCACUUUCUCAUUCUCUCACCCCGAGGAAGAUGACAAAAAAAUAUGAAAAAAUAAAAAGAAAGAAAAAAAGUCAUUACUACACAUUCAUUCAUUCAUUCUUUCACUUGUCCGUUACCUGAAGCCUUAAAAGCACAAACACACCCAUACACCUGUCACUAAUGAGCAGCAAGGUGAAGGUGUGUGUGCGCGUGUGUAUAGAAAAACGAUUGUGUCAAGUUCAGUUUUCAUAGUAACUCAUCAUUCUUCUAUCAUACACCCAUUUCAACACCUUCAGCAUUGUCGAGUUGAUAAUGCUUCUUGUUUCAUCAUUUUCUGCUAUCAUGUAAAUCCUUAAUUGAGUUUGUAAUGUCCCGUUUCUUAUCUAUUUAUUAUCGUCAUCCACAGUCAUUACUAGUUCACUACAGGAUAAGCCCUUCCCUUGUUUGACGUCAGUGUACUCCAUCCUGCUCGUCAGUGUACUCCAUCCUGCUCCGGCAAAUGUUGUAGUUUCACCUCUCCACCUGGUCCUCUGUCUGCUCUUCCUUUUCUCCCUAUUGCCAUUCUUCCUUCCUUUCCUUCUUCUUUCCAUCCUUUCUCUUGUUCUUUCACUUUCUGCCAUUCUUUCCUCUCCAUCCUGCUCCGGCAAAUGUUCUAGUUUCACCUUCCCACCUGAUCCUGUCUGCUCUUCCUUUUCUCCCUAUUGCCAUUCUUCCUUUCCUUCUUCUUUCCAUCCUUUCUCUUAUUCUUUCACUUUCUGCCAGUCUUUUCUCUCCAUCCUGCUCCGGCAAAUGUUCUAGUUUCACCUCUCCACCUGGUCCUCUGUCUACUCUUCCUUUUCUCCCUAUUGCCAUUCUUCCUUCCUUUCCCUCUUCUUUCCAUCCUUUCUCUUAUUCUUUCACUUUCUGCCAGUCUUUUCUCUCCAUCCUGCUCCGACAAAUGUUCUAGUUUCACCUUCCCACCUGAUCCUGUCUGCUCUUUCUCCCUAUUUCCUUUCUUCCUUCCUCCUGAUUUCCUUUUUUUUCUUCUUUCCAUCCUCUCUUGUUCUUUUGCUUUCUUCCUGUCUUUCCUUCUCCCUCCUGCUCCACCAAAUCCUCUUAAUUUAAUCUCCCCACCCUGACUUCUACAACUCCUGGCUUACUUUCCUUGUCUGUCUGUCUUAUCAGUUCUAGGCUUAUUUACUUUGUUUGUCAGUCCCUUGUUAUCAGUUGUACCUAAAAUAUGUGCCCAAGUCCAUUUUUUAUUAGAACAUCUUUAACCUUUGUCUGUUUUUAAUCAUCACUGCUUGCUUACUUACUUUCAAUGUUAUACCCAGCACUUACUUUUUUUUAUAUUUUCUUUGUGCAAAUCUUAGUUUUUUCUCUCCUUUUUAUACAAUCUCUCUACGUUACACCAAGCAUUUAUUUUCUUUAUUCCUCUUCAUGCACUUUCUUAGCCUUUUAUUUUUUAAUGUUAUCUAUUUUUUGGCUUAUUUGUCUAUGUGUGUGUGUUAUCUUUGCCCUUUGUCAUCACCAUCAACACCAUGACCAUCUAUCCACAUUAAACCCAGCACUUAUUUUCUCUACUCUUCAUGCACUUUCUUAGCUUUUUCUUUUUGUUAUCUAUUUUUUUUUUAUUUGUGUGUGUGUGUGUGUUAUCUUUGUGCUUACACCUUGUCACCAUCACCACCACUACCAUUUUCAUCAUCACCACCACCACCGUCACUGUGACCAUCAUGUUUUAUUACGAAGGCGAUACGUUGGUUCAUAUUAAUUCACACGCACAUACUCCCUACACCUCCUCCUCUUCCCUCUCUCUUUUUCUGCUGAUCUCUUCUCCCCUUUCCUCUUCUCCAUUACUCCAUAACACAGCCCACUUUUCUUCUCUUCUUCCUUCUCUUCUUUCCUCCAUUUCUUCACAACUACACUUCUCCCUACUUCUAUUCCACUUUUCUCUUACCUCUUCUUCACUACUCCUCUCCCUUCUCCUUUCCUCUAUUCCAUCUUACACUUCUCUCCUUCCCAUACCCCUUUCAUUUCUUCUCCAUCUCUUCACCUCUCCACUCCUCUCUGAUCAUCUCUUCACCACUAUUCUUCUCCCUCUUCAUUUUAUCUUCCACUAUUCCUUUCUUUUUCCAUCUUUCACUUCUCUCCAUUUCUUCACCACUACACUCCUCUUCCACUUCUCUUGUCUCUUCUUCCAUGAUUAGGUACUCUUCUCUAAUCCUAUCCACUCGUCGCCCCCUCUUUUCUCCACCUCGAACUACACUCCAUUAUACUCCACUUCAGCACAAUGACACAUAUUUUGGUUUCAUCUUCACAAUCUCUCUCUCUCUCUCUCUCUCUCUCUCUCUCUCUCUCUCUCAAGUCCUACAUUCCGCUGCUCAUCUUCACCUUGCCUGCACGUACAACACAAACAUUUUUUCUUCUUAGUUGUUUUCUUUUCUUGUUAAUUUAUAUUUCCCACUAAAAUCAGUACUACAUAUGACUGACUUUUCUGUGUGUGUGUGUGUGUGUGUGUGU
Eriocheir sinensis (Chinese mitten crab) is the source of this 3716-nucleotide long non-coding RNA. RefSeq lists it as uncharacterized. The transcript has 2 exons. The record is from RefSeq and is a predicted model, not a curated record. NCBI's taxonomy places the organism in Eukaryota, Metazoa, Arthropoda, Malacostraca, Decapoda, Varunidae.